This 240-nucleotide unclassified non-coding RNA is filed under the name soil metagenome. Its description in RNAcentral is "partial contains 5.8S ribosomal RNA, internal transcribed spacer 2, and large subunit ribosomal RNA". The record is from RNAcentral.
AAGACUAUAGACCUGCGGAGUACCUGCGGAAGGAUCAUUAUUGAUUUUUAACAGGAUGUGCUGGCUCUCAAGGGGGCAAUGUGCACUCCUAAUAAAACCAAUAUCCACCUGUGCACCUUAAGUAGACUAGUAGGACUCAUCACAGUCUUUCCAGUCUAUGUUCCUUCACAAACCUUUUGAAAUGUAAAUGAAUGAUCAUCUGUAUAAUUAAUAACAACUUUUAACAAUGGAUCUCUAGAU